This 76-nucleotide transfer RNA is filed under the name Actinomycetota bacterium. Its description in RNAcentral is "Actinobacteria bacterium tRNA-Arg". It matches the Rfam family "tRNA". Rfam says of the family: Transfer RNA (tRNA) molecules are approximately 80 nucleotides in length. Their secondary structure includes four short double-helical elements and three loops (D, anti-codon, and T loops). Further hydrogen bonds mediate the characteristic L-shaped molecular structure. tRNAs have two regions of fundamental functional importance: the anti-codon, which is responsible for specific mRNA codon recognition, and the 3' end, to which the tRNAs corresponding amino acid is attached (by aminoacyl-tRNA synthetases). tRNAs cope with the degeneracy of the genetic code in two manners: having more than one tRNA (with a specific anti-codon) for a particular amino acid; and 'wobble' base-pairing, i.e. permitting non-standard base-pairing at the 3rd anti-codon position. The record is from RNAcentral. Lineage: Bacteria; Bacillati; Actinomycetota.
GCCCCCGUAGCUCAGUGGAUAGAGCAACGGUUUCCUAAACCGCAGGUCGUAGGUCCGAUUCCUACCGGGGGCGCCA